UCGCAUCUGUGCAUGCAGCAUAUCAAUAAGCGGAGGAAAAGAAACUAACAAGGAUUCCCCUAGUAACGGCGAGUGAAGCGGGAAGAGCUCAAAUUUGAAAUCUUAAAGGGUUUCCCUUUACGAAUUGUAGUUUAAAGAAGUGUUUUCUGUUGAGGUUUUGGUAAAAGUUCUUUGGAAUAGGACAUCAUAGAGGGUGAGAAUCCCGUAUUUGACCUUUACUUUCAACUUUGUGAUACACUUCCAAAGAGUCGGAUUGUUUGGGAAUGCAGUCCAAAAUGGGUGGUAAAUUUCAUCUAAAGCUAAAUAUUGGCGAGAGACCGAUAGCGAACAAGUACCGUGAGGGAAAGAUGAAAAGAACUUUGAAAAGAGAGUUAAACAGUACGUGAAAUUGUCAAAAGGGAAGCGUUUGACACCAGUGUUGUUUUUCUGAAAAUCAAUUAAAGAACUGUUUAUGCUAAGCUGUUUAGACUUUAUCAGCUAUCUGUUUAGUUUUGAGCUUUUCUUUAAUGCACUUUUCAGUUAACAAGUCAACAUCAAUUUCUUUUGCUGUAAAAAAGCUUGAGGAAGGUGGCUUGAGAUUCGUCUUAAGUGUUUAUAGCCUCUUGCCUAUGCAGUCGGAGAGAUUGAGGUCUGCAGCGUAGAUCCUUCGGGGCUAAAUGCAUUUGUGCUAAGUUAUAGCAUUUUAUAGACAACUUGUUGACUAUGAUUUGUCUUGUAGCUUACUCGCUUAUGUUAUUUUACCUACGCUUAGGAUGUUGAGUCGUAGAGCACGCAG
RNAcentral lists this ribosomal RNA (775 nucleotides) under uncultured Neocallimastigales. Its description in RNAcentral is "partial large subunit ribosomal RNA". It matches the Rfam family "Eukaryotic large subunit ribosomal RNA", at positions 24 to 628 of the family's 3401-position model. The record is from RNAcentral. Lineage: Eukaryota; Fungi; Neocallimastigomycota; Neocallimastigomycetes; Neocallimastigales.